Molecule: ribosomal RNA, 453 nt
Filed under: uncultured bacterium
Lineage: Bacteria
Description: bacterial SSU rRNA
Rfam family: Bacterial small subunit ribosomal RNA
Source: RNAcentral
AUGAACGCUGGCGGCGUGGAUAGGGCAUGCAAGUCGAGCGCCCCGCAUAGCUCCGCAAGGAGCGACGUGGGGAGCGGCAAACGAGUUCAGUAACACCCUGGUACGUACCCCGAAGUCGGGCAUAAUCUUCCGAAAGGAGGACUAAUUCUCGAUAGUCUUGUAAAAGUAAAGAUGCAAAUCGCUUCGGGAGCGACCUAGGCACUAUCAGCUAGUUGGUGAGGUAACGGCCCACCAAGGCUAUGACGGUUAGGGGAGGUGAGAGCCUGAUCCCCAACGACACUACUGAGACACGGAGUGUACAUCUACGGAUGGCUGCAGUCGAGAAUAUUCGACAAUGGGCGAAAGCCUGAUCGAGCGACGCCGCGUGCAGGAAGAAGGGCUUCGGCCUGUAAACUGCUUUUGCGUGGGAAGAAUUUUGACGGUACCACGAGAAUAAGGGGUUGCUAACUCUGU